UCACCUUGUGUGUAGGGAGGAGAACCAGCCCUAGGGCUGCUGAGGAGCCACAUAAAUACAAGCAACAGAUGUUUCCUCUGCAGCUGAACAGAUGGAUAGGCAGCCUGGGAUGGGGCCCUGCCCUGGAAACCCCCACCUCUGUCUGGUCUCCCGGGCCCUGGGACUCGCCAGCCUCCUCCUCAGCAUCUGCAGCCCUGGAGCCAAGAGUUCUGAAGCACACGGUUCUGGAGUGAAAGGUUCUGAAGCCAACAAUCCUGUGAAGGGGACUCAAGGAGGUGCUAUCUGGUUUCACAUGAACACGAACCCAGGAGCUGAGCUGGAGAAGAUCUUGUGGGG
Molecule: long non-coding RNA, 336 nt
Organism: Talpa occidentalis (Iberian mole)
Lineage: Eukaryota; Metazoa; Chordata; Mammalia; Eulipotyphla; Talpidae
Exons: 3
Source: RefSeq, a predicted model, not a curated record